Molecule: long non-coding RNA, 2839 nt
Organism: Mytilus californianus (California mussel)
Lineage: Eukaryota; Metazoa; Mollusca; Bivalvia; Mytilida; Mytilidae
Exons: 3
Source: RefSeq, a predicted model, not a curated record
UUUUUAUACGACCGCAAAAAAAUUUUGCGGUUGUAUAUUGGUAUGACGUUGGCUUCCUCGUCCUCGUCGUCGUCGUCGUCCGAAGACACAUUGGUUUUCACACUCUAACUUAAGUUUAAGUAAAUGGAUCUCUAUGACAUUUUACCAUAAGGUUCAAUACCACAAAAGGAAGGUUGGGAUUGAUUUUGGGGGUUAUUGUACCAACAGUUAAGGAAUAUGGGGCCAAAAAUAAGCAUUUUUGUAACUUCCAGACAUAUCUUGUGUGUUAGUGUAUGGAUCUCUCUGACAUUGUACCACAAGGUUCCAUAUCAUAAAGGGAAUGCUGGGAUUGAUUUCGGGGUAAUUGCCUCCAAAUUUUAGGAAAAAGGGGCAAAAAAACAAGCAUUUUUCUAGUUUCAGGACAAUAACUUGUGUGUAAGUGUAUGGAUCUUUAUGAAAUUGUACUACAAGGUUCCAUAUCACAAAGGGAAAGCUGGGUUUGAGUUUGGGGGUAAUUGCUCAAACGUUAAGGAAUUUGGGGCCAAAAAAAGGGCCUAAAAUCAAGCAUUUUUCUAGUUUCCAGACAAUUACUUGUGUUCAAGUGUACAGAUCUCUCUGAAAUUGUACAGCAAGGUACCAUACCACAAAGGGAAGGCUGGGAUUGAUUUUGGGGGUAAUUGCCUCAAAAGUUUAGGAAUUAGGGGCCAAAAAGGGGCAAAAAAACAAACAUUUUUCUAGUUUCGGGACAAUAACUUGUGUGUAAGUGUAUGGAUCUUUAUGAAAUUGUACUACAAGGUUCCAUAACACAAAGGGAAAGCUGGGUUUGAGUUUUGGGGUAAUUGCCCUAAACGUUUAGGAAUUUGGGGCCAAAAAGGGGCCUAAAAACCAGCAUUUUUCUAGUUUCAUGACAAUAACUUGUGUGUAAGUGUAUGGAUCUUUCUGAAAUUGUACUACAAGGUUCCAUAUCAUAAAGAAAAAGCUGGAAUUGAGUUUGGGGGUAAUUGCCCAAAACGUUUAGGAAUAAGGGGCCAAAAAUAAGCAUUUUUCUAGUUUCCAGACAAUAACAUGUGUUCAAGUGUAUGGAUCUCUCUGAAAUUGUACAGCAAGGUACCAUACCACAAAGGGAAGGCUGGGAUUGAUUUUGGGGGUGAUUGCCUCAAAAUUUUAGGAAUAAGGGGCCAAAAAGGGUAAAAAAAACAAGCAUUUUUAGCUCACCUGGCCCAGAGGGCCAAGUGAGCUUUUCUCAUCACUUGGCGUCCGUUGUCCGUCGUCCGUCGUCGUCGUCCGUUAACUUUUACAAAAAUCUUCUCCUCUGAAACUACUAGGCCAAAUUUAACCAAACUUGGCCACAAUCAUGAUUAGGGUAUCUAGUUAAAAAAAUGUGUCCGAUGACCCCGCCUGCCAACCAAGAUGGCCGCCAUGGCUAAAAAUAGAACAUAGGGGUAAAAUGCAGUUUUUGGCUUAUAUCUCUGAAACCAAAGCAUUUAGAGCAAAUCUGACAGGGGUAAAAUUGUUUAUCAGGUCAAGAUCUAUCUGCUCUGAAAUUUUCAGAUGAAUUGGACAACCCAUUGUUGGGUUGCUGCCCCUGAAUUGGUAAUUUUAAGGAAAUUUUGCCGUUUUUGGUUAUUAUCUUGAAUAUUAUUAUAGAUAGAGAUAAACUGUAAAGGAGUUAUUGCCCUUUAUAGUCAAUUUUUAACCAUUUUUCGUAAAUUUUUGUAAUCUUUUACAAAAAUCUUCUCCUCUGAAACUACUGAGACAAAUUUAACCAAACUUGUCCACAAUCAUCAUUAGGGUAUCUAGUUUAAAAAAUGUGUCUGAUGACCCCGCCCGCGAACCAAGAUGGCCGACAUGGCUAAAAAAUAGUACAUAGGGUAAAAUGCAGUUUUUGGCUCAUAUCUCUGAAACCAAAGCAUUUAGAGCAAAUCUGAUGAGGAUAAAAUUGUUCAUUAGGUCAAGAUCUAUCUGCCCUGAAAUUUUCAGACCAAUCAGGCAACACGUUGUUGGGUUGCUGCCCCUGAAUUGGUAAUUUUAAGAAAAUUUUGCAGCUUUUGGUUAUUAUCUUGAAUAUUAUUAUAUUUAGAGAUAAACUGUAAACAGCAAUAAUGUACAGCAAAGUUAGAUCUACAAAUAAGUCAACAUGACCAAAAUUGUCAAUUGACCCCUUAAGGAGUUAUUGCCCUUUAUAGUCAAUUUUUUACAAUUUUCAUAAAUUUUGUAAAUUUUUGUAAAUUUUUACAAAAUAUUUUCCACUGUAACUACUGGGCCAAGUUCAUUAUAGAUAGAGAUAAUAGUAAGGAGCAAGAAUGUUCAGUAAAGUAAGAUCUACAAACACAUCACCAUCACCAAAACACAAUUUUGUCAUGAAUCCAUCUGUGUCCAUUGUUUAAUAUGCACAUAGACCAAGGUGAGCGACAAAGGCUCUUUAGAGCCUCUAGUUCUAGUUUCCAGACAAUAACUUGUGUUCAAGUGUAUGGAUCUCUCUGAAAUUGUACUGCAAGGUACCGUACCACAAAGGGAAGGCUGGGAUUGAGUUUGGGGGUGAUGAAUCAUAAGGGGGUUCAAAAAAUUUGGGGGAGGGAUUUUUUUUUCCUUUUUUUUUCUUUAAAAUUUUCCAUUUUAAAUUGGUUAUUUCUUAUUUAUAUAUAAAAGCAAAUAAUGAUGAUAUGGUUUGAAUAGGUAAAUUAAAAAUUUUUAAGUUCUUAGACCACAUUCAUUCUGUGUCAGAAACCUAUGCUGUGUCAAAUAUUUAAUCACAAUCUAAAUUCAGUGCUGUAUCAAGCUUGAAUGUUGUGUCCAUACUUGCCCCAACUGUUCAGGGAUAGACCUCUGCGGUCGUAUCAAGCUGCGCCCAGUGGAGCAU